CUUUCUCCGCCGGCGACCGGCGCACGGGUGAGUAACACGUAUGCAACCUGCCCCUGUCAGGGGGACAACCCGCCGAAAGGCGGGCUAAACCCGCGUACAUGCCACCGGGGCAUCCCGGAGGCAGGAAAGGCUUCGGCCGGACAGGGAUGGGCAUGCGGCGCAUUAGGCAGUAGGCGGGGUAACGGCCCACCUAACCGACGAUGCGUAGGGGUUCUGAGAGGAAGGUCCCCCACACUGGUACUGAGACACGGCCCAGACUCCUACGGGAGGCAGCAG
RNAcentral lists this ribosomal RNA (276 nucleotides) under uncultured bacterium. RNAcentral's name for it is "partial 16S ribosomal RNA". It matches the Rfam family "Bacterial small subunit ribosomal RNA", at positions 79 to 354 of the family's 1533-position model. The record is from RNAcentral.